GACGAACGCUGGCGGCGUGCCUAAUACAUGCAAGUCGAGCGAAUCAACAGGAGCUUGCUCCUGUUGAUUAGCGGCGGACGGGUGAGUAACACGUGGGCAACCUGCCUGUAAGACUGGGAUAACACCGGGAAACCGGUGCUAAUACCGGAUAAUCUUUUUCCUCUCAUGAGGAAAAACUGAAAGUCGGUUUCGGCUGACACUUACAGAUGGGCCCGCGGCGCAUUAGCUAGUUGGUGAGGUAACGGCUCACCAAGGCGACGAUGCGUAGCCGACCUGAGAGGGUGAUCGGCCACACUGGGACUGAGACACGGCCCAGACUCCUACGGGAGGCGGCAGUAGGGAAUCUUCCACAAUGGACGAAAGUCUGAUGGAGCAACGCCGCGUGAGCGAUGAAGGCCUUCGGGUCGUAAAGCUCUGUUGUUAGGGAAGAACAGGUACCGGAGUAACUGCCGGUACCUUGACGGUACCUAACCAGAAAGCCACGGCUAACUACGUGCCAGCAGCCGCAGUAA
This 512-nucleotide ribosomal RNA is filed under the name uncultured bacterium. RNAcentral describes it as "partial 16S ribosomal RNA". It matches the Rfam family "Bacterial small subunit ribosomal RNA", at positions 28 to 523 of the family's 1533-position model. The record is from RNAcentral.